RNAcentral lists this ribosomal RNA (443 nucleotides) under uncultured bacterium. RNAcentral's name for it is "partial 16S ribosomal RNA". It matches the Rfam family "Bacterial small subunit ribosomal RNA", at positions 338 to 795 of the family's 1533-position model. The record is from RNAcentral.
CCUACGGGUGGCAGCAGUGGGGAAUAUUGGGCAAUGGGCGCAAGCCUGACCCAGCAACGCCGCGUGAAGGAAGAAGGCUUUCGGGUUGUAAACUUCUUUUCUCAGGGACGAAGCAAGUGACGGUACCUGAGGACUAAGCCACGGCUAACUACGUGCCAGCAGCCGCGGUAAUACGUAGGUGGCAAGCGUUAUCCGGAUUUACUGGGUGUAAAGGGCGUGUAGGCGGGAAAGCAAGUCUGAUGUGAAAACCAUGGGCUCAACCUGUGGCCUGCAUUUGAAACUGUUUUUCUUGAGUACUGGAGAGGCAGACGGAAUGCCUAGUGUAGCGGUGAAAUGCGUAGAUAUUAGGAGGAACACCAGUGGCGAAGGCGGUCUGCUGGACAGCAACUGACGCUGAGGCGCGAAAGCGUGGGGAGCAAACAGGAUUAGAUACCCUUGUAGUC